CGCCCGGGAGGCAGCAGUGGGGAAUAUUGGACAAUGGGCGCAAGCCUGAUCCAGCCAUGCCGCGUGAGUGAUGAAGGCCUUAGGGUUGUAAAGCUCUUUCGCCAGGGACGAUAAUGACGGUACCUGGAUAAGAAGCCCCGGCUAACUUCGUGCCAGCAGCCGCGGUAAU
This 169-nucleotide ribosomal RNA is filed under the name uncultured Methylocystaceae bacterium. Its description in RNAcentral is "partial 16S ribosomal RNA". It matches the Rfam family "Bacterial small subunit ribosomal RNA", at positions 335 to 524 of the family's 1533-position model. Lineage: Bacteria; Pseudomonadati; Pseudomonadota; Alphaproteobacteria; Hyphomicrobiales; Methylocystaceae. The record is from RNAcentral.